This is a non-coding RNA of Acanthosepion pharaonis, 113 nucleotides long. NCBI's taxonomy places the organism in Eukaryota, Metazoa, Mollusca, Cephalopoda, Sepiida, Sepiidae. The record is from the annotation of a GenBank genome assembly.
UACAGCCACAUCAUGUUUAAACACAGUUUCCCGUAAGAUCACGAUAGGUAAGCAAACUCAAGCCUGGUCAGUACCUAGAUGGGUGACCGCUUGGAAAUAUCAGGUGCUGUAAG